RNAcentral lists this ribosomal RNA (253 nucleotides) under uncultured bacterium. RNAcentral's name for it is "partial 16S ribosomal RNA". It matches the Rfam family "Bacterial small subunit ribosomal RNA", at positions 524 to 776 of the family's 1533-position model. The record is from RNAcentral.
UACGAAGGGGGCUAGCGUUGUUCGGAAUCACUGGGCGUAAAGAGCACGUAGGCGGUAUUGCAAGUUAGGGGUGAAAUCCCAGGGCUUAACCCUGGAACUGCCUUUAAAACUGCAAUGCUGGAGUCUCGGAGGGGAUGGUGGAAUAUCCAGUGUAGAGGUGAAAUUCGUAGAUACUGGAUGGAACACCGGUGGCGAAGGCGGCCAUCUGGACGAGUACUGACGCUGAGGUGCGAAAGCGUGGGGAGCAAACAGG